Wasmannia auropunctata (little fire ant) is the source of this 817-nucleotide long non-coding RNA. RefSeq lists it as uncharacterized. NCBI's taxonomy places the organism in Eukaryota, Metazoa, Arthropoda, Insecta, Hymenoptera, Formicidae. The transcript has 2 exons. The record is from RefSeq and is a predicted model, not a curated record.
AUGGAUUUGUAUUCAGUGUGAAGUGAGAGAGGAAUUUAAAAUGCCGUCUCUCAGCCUCUCAUGCCUAAUUUUCUAGGCUAGUUCUAAUAAUACAGAGCCCGUGAGUUACACUUUGUGGAAAGUUGCACGACGCUCAUUCGUGCGUUGCCUGAAGAAAUGUCAGCAAAAUCGUAACAUAUCGUAUAAACACGCGGCGUACAUAUGUGAAUGCCGCCGGAGCGACAUUCACGCACCAGUUGUGACAAGGCCGAUAUCGGCAGUGUAAUCCAUAUAUAUUUUCUUGCAGCGAUGUAGAAAAACCGAUCCAUCUUAUUCGAUCUCCGACCUACAUAUUCCUCCCGAGAUUAAAUUUCUACAAGCGAAAUGUCGAUUGCGAAAUAAUCGCACCAGAUGGUCUUUUCUUCGGCAAAAGCGGCUACGAAAUUAAAAGUUGGUAACGGCAUUGUAGAAUAUAAUCCUAUGAUUAUCACUGAUCGUUGCCGCGGAGCGAGACCAAGAGCUAGACAGCAUCGAGAGCAGAUGCAAUUAGAUUGCACACCGUGGAAUGGUCAAAGUGGAUUUCCAGAGGGGAUAUGAAUAACGAGUGAACGCUUUCGCAUUGAUCCUCGUCCGCAUUGGACUUUCCAUGAGCCGAUUUGAGUAUGGCUAUAAUUUACGUUGAUACCUAUCGCCUAUACACAGGAUGUUCGGCCCGAAAGUAUCGUGUGAGCGAACGUGUUAGGACUGGUAUUGGUACAGAGAGCUUCGGGGCAACAAGGAAAGUAGAAAAUACGACAAACUAGGCAAUAAGCGAAAGUAAAAUCGUCAUACAAUUUAA